GAUGAGCGCUGGCGGCGUGCCUAAUACGUGCAAGUCGAGCGGCAGCACGGUCUUCGGACUGGUGGCAAGCGGCGGACGGCUGAGUAACGCGUAGGAACGUACCCCGAAGUGAGGAAUAACUGCUCGAAAGAGUAGCUAAUACCGCAUGUGAUCUACGGAUUAAAGCUUUAUGCGCUUUGGGAACGGCCUGCGUAUGAUUAGCUUGUGGUGAGGUAAUGGCUCACCAAGGCGAUGAUCAUUAGCUGGUCUGAGAGGAUGAUCAGCCAGACUGGGACUGAGACACGGCCCAGACUCCUACGGGAGGCAGCAGUAGGGAAUUUUCCACAAUGGGCGAAAGCCUGAUGGAGCAACGCCGCGUGCAGGAUGAAGACCUUCGGGUUGUAAACUGCUUUUGUUAGUGACGAUUAUGACGGUAGCAUAUGAAUAAGGAUCGGCUAAUUCCGUGCCAGCCGCCGCGGUAA
Molecule: ribosomal RNA, 461 nt
Filed under: uncultured bacterium
Lineage: Bacteria
Description: partial 16S ribosomal RNA
Rfam family: Bacterial small subunit ribosomal RNA
Source: RNAcentral